This 662-nucleotide long non-coding RNA is filed under the name Homo sapiens (human). Its description in RNAcentral is "long non-coding RNA NONHSAT216674.1". Lineage: Eukaryota; Metazoa; Chordata; Mammalia; Primates; Hominidae. The record is from RNAcentral.
UGACCACCAUGGACUGGGUUCCUUCCUCCUCCCCGAGACUGCCCCUCCCCAGAAUAUUAGAGGCAGAGGAGUCCUGGUGAGCGUCUCGCCCAACCCCAUGGGGCAGCUGCCUGAGACAUGUCAUGAGGCAGCGCCAGAAGGGGGCUGGCACCCAGGGAUUCCUGGGGUGCUGGUGUGUGUCCUUUCAGGAGGUGGUAACAUUUGGCGAUGUGGCUGUGCACUUCUCUCGGGAGGAGUGGCAGUGUCUGGACCCUGGCCAGAGGGCCCUCUACAGGGAAGUGAUGCUGGAGAACCACAGCAGUGUGGCUGGACUAGCAGGAUUCCUGGUUUUCAAGCCUGAGCUGAUCUCUCGGCUGGAGCAGGGAGAAGAGCCAUGGGUCCUCGACCUGCAGGGAGCAGAGGGGACAGAGGCACCAAGGACCUCCAAGACAGGGGAAACAUACAAAUAACUGCCAUGGAGAGAAGCCGUACGAAUGUGCAGAGUGUGGGAAAGUCUUCAGGCUCUGCUCGCAGCUUAAUCAGCAUCAGAGAAUCCACACGGGAGAGAAACCCUUUAAAUGCACUGAGUGUGGAAAAGCCUUCCGCCUGAGCUCAAAACUUAUUCAGCAUCAAAGAAUCCACACUGGGGAGAAGCCCUACAGAUGUGAGGAAUGUGGAAAAGC